This 413-nucleotide ribosomal RNA is filed under the name uncultured Bacillus sp. Its description in RNAcentral is "bacterial SSU rRNA". It matches the Rfam family "Bacterial small subunit ribosomal RNA", at positions 303 to 707 of the family's 1533-position model. The record is from RNAcentral. Lineage: Bacteria; Bacillati; Bacillota; Bacilli; Caryophanales; Bacillaceae.
AUCGGCCACACUGGGACUGAGACACGGCCCAGACUCCUACGGGAGGCAGCAGUAGGGAAUCUUCCGCAAUGGACGAAAGUCUGACGGAGCAACGCCGCGUGAGUGAUGAAGGUUUUCGGAUCGUAAAGCUCUGUUGUUAGGGAAGAACAAGUACCGUUCGAAUAGGGCGGUACCUUGACGGUACCUAACCAGAAAGCCACGGCUAACUACGUGCCAGCAGCCGCGGUAAUACGUAGGUGGCAAGCGUUGUCCGGAAUUAUUGGGCGUAAAGGGCUCGCAGGCGGUUUCUUAAGUCUGAUGUGAAAGCCCCCGGCUCAACCGGGGAGGGUCAUUGGAAACUGGGGAACUUGAGUGCAGAAGAGGAGAGUGGAAUUCCACGUGUAGCGGUGAAAUGCGUAGAGAUGUGGAGGAAC